GGCAUCCUCGCCGCCGAUGAAUCCACUGGCACGAUCGGCAAGCGCCUGUCCAGCAUAAACGUUGAGAACGUGGAAUCCAACCGCCGCGCUCUUCGCGAGCUCCUCUUCACCACCCCGGGGGCCCUCCAGUGCCUCAGCGGGGUCAUCCUCUUCGAGGAAACCCUCUACCAGAAGACCGCGGCGGGGAAGCCAUUCGUGGACGUUCUCACCGAAGCCAACGUCCUCCCCGGCAUCAAGGUCGACAAGGGCACCGUCGAGCUGGCCGGCACCAACGGCGAGACCACCACCCAGGGCCUCGACGACCUCGGCAAGCGCUGCGCCAAGUACUACGAGGCCGGCGCGCGCUUCGCCAAGUGGCGGGCGGUCCUCAAGAUCGGCCCCACCGAGCCCUCCCAGCUGUCCAUCCAGGAGAACGCCAACGGGCUGGCCCGGUACGCCAUCAUCUGCCAGGAGAACGGCCUCGUGCCCAUCGUCGAGCCCGAGAUCCUCGUCGACGGCCCCCACGACAUCGCCCGCUGCGCCGACGUGACCGAGCGCGUCCUCGCCGCCUGCUACAAGGCCCUCAACGACCACCACGUCCUCCUGGAAGGGACCCUGCUGAAGCCCAACAUGGUGACCCCCGGCUCGGACUCGAAGAAGGUGGCCCCGGAGGUGGUGGCCGAGUACACCGUCAGGGCUCUGCAGCGCACCGUCCCCGCCGCCGUCCCCGCCAUCGUCUUCCUCUCCGGGGGCCAGAGCGAGGAGGAGGCCACGCUGAACCUCAACGCCAUGAACCAGCUCAAGGGCAAGAAGCCCUGGAGCCUCUCCUUCUCCUUCGGCAGGGCCCUGCAGCAGAGCACCCUCAAGACGUGGGCCGGGAAGGAGGAGAACAUCCCCAAGGCGCAGGCCGCCUUCCUGGCCAGGUGCAAGGCCAACUCCGAGGCCACCCUCGGGACCUACAAGGGCGACGCGGCCGGCGGCGACGGCGUCUCCGAGAGCCUCCACGUCAAGGACUACAAGUACUGAUCUCUACCCGGGGGCUCUUCCCCUCUCCCGCCUCCCGUUUUUAACUUAUUAUUAUGAGAUCAGAGAGAUAGAGUAGAGAGAGAAGAAGAAGAGAGAGAGAGAGAGAGAGAGAAGAAGAGGGAGAGAGACGAAGGCUGCACUGUUUCUUUCCGGGGCUUUUUGGUGAACUAUGUAUGGGCUUGUUAUCUUUGCAUAAUAAGGCGGAGGGGGGGUCUUUAGGAAGAUGCUUGUUAUUUUGUCUCCAAUCGAGCCCGUUCCAUAAAAAAACUUGAAUCAUCUUCGCCCGUUUUCAAGGGCGGCGGCUUUCGCCGUUUGGUUACGAUCAUCGUGGCUAUUUUGGGCAUAUUAUUCUUUAUGUCGACUUUCAUGAAUCUUGGCCAAAUCCAACGAGUUAUGGCAGAUCGCAU
RNAcentral lists this long non-coding RNA (1412 nucleotides) under Spirodela polyrhiza (greater duckweed). RNAcentral's name for it is "long non-coding RNA (SPOL_LNC001708)". The record is from RNAcentral. Lineage: Eukaryota; Viridiplantae; Streptophyta; Magnoliopsida; Alismatales; Araceae.